CUAGCAUGAUUUUAGGAUCUAAAUUAGGUUACACUUGUGUAUAUAUAUUUGUAUAUUGUGUAGUCCAAAAAUAUGAAGAAGAGUAUUUUCUCUCCCUUUUUCUUACUUUACAUGGUAUCAGAGCUUCAGGCUCUGUUAUCAGUUUGUCUUUUGACGUGACCCUAUUGAGUCACUUUUAGGUCUUUCUUGUGUGAAUUAUAAUGGCAGAUAUGAAAGGUAGUAGUAGAGAGAUGAAAACAGUAAUUUCUGAUGUUAUUCCUACAACAUCAAAAAUUACUGAACACAAAUUGAGUGGAAAAAAAGUUUUUAGAUUGGAGUAAAACUAUUCGGAUAUAUCUGCGCAGCAUCGAUAGAGAUGAUCAUCUCACUGAUGACCCACCCGUUGAUGGAGAAGAAAAGACGGUUUGGCUAAGGGAAGAUGCAAAACUAUUUUUGCACUAGUCAUGUGAGAACUGGAGAACAGUUAGCUGAUAUUUUCACUAAGCCUCUAAAUGGUCCGAGAAUUGAUUACAUUUGUGACAAGAUGGGCAUGAUUAACAUCUAUGCUCCAUCUUGAGGGGGAGUGUUGAAGAUAUGUGAUCUGAUAUUAUGGAAAGAUUUGAUAUUGUAAAUAUUAGGAAAGAUUUGAUUAUAGUAUCAUAUGAUUAUAGUAUCAUAUAUUAAUUAGGUAUCAUAUGAUUAUAGUAUCAUAUAUUAAUUAGGUAGUAGAUUGAUUUAGAUUAGCAUGAUUUUAGGAUCUAAAUUAGGUUACACUUGUGUAUAUAUAUUUGUAUAUUGUGUAGUCCAAAAAUAUGGAGAAGAGUAUUUUCUCUCCCUUUUUUCUUAGUUUACAACGAGCAUUUGAAAAGAUUCUUGGCCAACAUAUUCAUGGAAUAAAAUAUUUCAUGGUGCCAGAGCAUCUGGAUUUUGACUAGAUGGAAAGGUAGAAAUCCUUGUUGCACCAUUCCCUGUAAUAUCUGAAGAAGAUGAAAAUUUUAUAUCGCAAAAUUGCUUAUCAAACUUGGCUGGUUCUACUUUAUUUGUUUCAAUUAGAGCCCUGAAGCACUGUCCCCUAACAGAAAAAGGCAUGGUAGGGGAAAUUAGUUUGAAAGCUUUGUUUAGUCUUAUAUCCUUUUCUGGGAAAAUCACUUUAAUAGCUGGCAUUAGGAAAACUUGGAACACAUUGGAUUAUAAAGGCCAAUACGCUCUUGGAUGAGUCAGCAGAAUGCUUUAGAGUUGCAGUUAAACUUGACAAAGAUUAACCAUGUAAAACUUCUACUUUUGGCAAAAGAAGAUCGGCUUCACGAGCUAAUUUCAAAAGUUAUCUCCUUGUCAAAGUAGCUAGUAUGAUACAUAGAUUUUAUGCUGGAUGAUCUCUACAUAAAAAAGAAAGUAGUUUGUGUCCAAAAUCCCAGGUCACUAUAAUACUUAUGAUGUAUCUGAAAAACUGCAAGGACAUGUUCACUAAAAAUUUCUUUUUGAUCAAUUAGAACCGUCUUCAGAAAAGUACUUGUAGAUUGUUACAUCAAUUAGGGCUUGAUAUCUCUCUUUCCUUUUGGUGUAAUGUUUUUUCUGUUACUCUUCUAUCAUUUAUUUGGGAUAUGAGAGAAAGUAUGAUUCAAGGAACAUUUUUGACUUUGGUCAAAAUUUCAGAGUUGGUGGCACUCUAUUCCUUGAUGUUCUUGAAGUGGCAUAUAAAAUCCAAAAAUCUUUAUUCAUGGUUUUCCUAGAUCUCAAAUCUAAAUGUUUUAGGAAGGAAAAAUAAAAACUGAUAUGCUUGCCAAGUUUGCAGUAAUGUGUCAAAGAGUUAUAGUCUUCUUUAGGCUGUUUUUGUCCUGAGAUAGUCCCUCAAAGAAUUGGGCUCUGUUUCCUGGACUCGACAGUUUGCUAGGAAGCACCACAGAUACCGGGUAUUGAGUCGGUUUGGAUCUGGUGAAAGAUGAUUGGGGUUACUUUGACUUCCGAUUCUAUUCAAGCUUUAGCUAAUGUGAAGGAAAACUGCUAGGAGAACUAGGCGAUGCUAAAAGAGUGGAGUCUGGCAAUGCUCCGAUUGCUUUAGGAUAUGUAUGCUUAAUGGGUCAUGUGAGAGUUGAUAAGGAUUGCCACAUGUUAUGUGAUUGAAGUCUUAUAGUCAGCAGAGUUAAUAUUUGAAGCAUUUAUCUAGGCUCCUGAUGUUUGGCUAAAGUAAUUAGUAUAGGCUUAAUUCGAAAAAAAAAUGAAUUGGGUAUUUUGCUGAGAAAACACGCAA
Non-coding RNA from Coffea arabica (coffee), 2227 nucleotides. The record is from RefSeq and is a predicted model, not a curated record. NCBI's taxonomy places the organism in Eukaryota, Viridiplantae, Streptophyta, Magnoliopsida, Gentianales, Rubiaceae.